RNAcentral lists this ribosomal RNA (925 nucleotides) under Microbacterium sp. RG-71. RNAcentral describes it as "bacterial SSU rRNA". It matches the Rfam family "Bacterial small subunit ribosomal RNA", at positions 103 to 1041 of the family's 1533-position model. The record is from RNAcentral. Lineage: Bacteria; Bacillati; Actinomycetota; Actinomycetes; Micrococcales; Microbacteriaceae.
CGGGUGAGUAACACGUGAGCACCCUGCCCCUGACUYUGGNAUAAGCGCUGGAAACGGCGUUUAAUACUGGAUAUGUGACGUGCCCGCAUGNUCUGCGUCUGGAAAGAAUUUCGGUUGGGGAUGGGCUCGCGGCCUAUCAGCUUGUUGGUGAGGUAAUGGCUCACCAAGGCGUCGACGGGUAGCCGGCCUGAGAGGGUGACCGGCCACACUGGGACUGAGACACGGCCCAGACUCCUACGGGAGGCAGCAGUGGGGAAUAUUGCACAAUGGGCGCAAGCCUGAUGCAGCAACGCCGCGUGAGGGAUGACGGCCUUCGGGUUGUAAACCUCUUUUAGCAGGGAAGAAGCGAAAGUGACGGUACCUGCAGAAAAAGCGCCGGCUAACUACGUGCCAGCAGCCGCGGUAAUACGUAGGGCGCAAGCGUUAUCCGGAAUUAUUGGGCGUAAAGAGCUCGUAGGCGGUUUGUCGCGUCUGCUGUGAAAUCCGGAGGCUCAACCUCCGGCCUGCAGUGGGUACGGGCAGACUAGAGUGCGGUAGGGGAGAUUGGAAUUCCUGGUGUAGCGGUGGAAUGCGCAGAUAUCAGGAGGAACACCGAUGGCGAAGGCAGAUCUCUGGGCCGUAACUGACGCUGAGGAGCGAAAGGGUGGGGAGCAAACAGGCUUAGAUACCCUGGUAGUCCACCCCGUAAACGUUGGGAACUAGUUGUGGGGUCCAUUCCACGGAUUCCGUGACGCAGCUAACGCAUUAAGUUCCCCGCCUGGGGAGUACGGCCGCAAGGCUAAAACUCAAAGGAAUUGACGGGGACCCGCACAAGCGGCGGAGCAUGCGGAUUAAUUCGAUGCAACGCGAAGAACCUUACCAAGGCUUGACAUAUACGAGAACGGGCCAGAAAUGGUCAACUCUUUGGACACCUCGAAACAGUGGG